This 497-nucleotide ribosomal RNA is filed under the name uncultured bacterium. RNAcentral's name for it is "partial 16S ribosomal RNA". It matches the Rfam family "Bacterial small subunit ribosomal RNA", at positions 28 to 507 of the family's 1533-position model. The record is from RNAcentral.
GAUGAACGCUGGCGGCGUGCCUAAUACAUGCAAGUCGAGCGAACAGACGAGGAGCUUGCUCCUCUGACGUUAGCGGCGGACGGGUGAGUAACACGUGGAUAACCUACCUAUAAGACUGGGAUAACUUCGGGAAACCGGAGCUAAUACCGGAUAAUAUAUUGAACCGCAUGGUUCAAUAGUGAAAGACGGUUUUGCUGGCACUUAUAGAUGGAUCCGCGCCGCAUUAGCUAGUUGGUAAGGUAACGGCUUACCAAGGCAACGAUGCGUAGCCGACCUGAGAGGGAUAUCGGCCCCACCGGAACUGAGACACGGCCCAGACUCCUACGGGGGGCAGCAGUGGGGAAUUUUUCCCAAUGGGCGGAAGCCUGAUCCAGCCAUCCCGCGUGGAGGAAGAAGGGCUUCGGGUUGGAAACUCCUUUUUUAUGGGAAAAAAAGAAUUUGGCAAAAACCUGGGGCUCUUGACGGUACCGUAAGAAUAAGCCCCGGCUAACUACGUG